AAAUUUGGAUCCAUUUAACCUGCUCUUUGUGAUAGUUGCCAGACUAGCUAUUUAUGUACCAUAAUUUCCUCAAAGUUUCUUUAUUUUAGUGAAAGAUUUUUUUUUCCAUCUUCUGAUCAAAGCACUCAACCUGACAGGCAUUCACAAAAUACGUGUGUCUGUGCCUUCUCCAAAACGCCUUCCUCUGCAAUGUCGGUGGGACCUUGUCAUCCUCUAGUGGCUAUUCUCAAAAGCUGCAUUCCACAUCAGUGGUCACUUGAUCUCUGGCCAACAGAUACCAUCCCCCAGUAUUCACCGCAGCAUUCUGAGCAAUGCAGCCCGGAUGACUUCCAGAUGAUCACAUUACAUUUUCAGGGAGCUGUUUUAACUUCGUUCUGAUACUUUAUAUCUCUCCACUCGCUCUUGUGUAUAUUCUUCACCUCCUUGAGAAGACAUGAACUCCUGACUGGCCAUUAACUUACAUAUGAAUGUAAGUUGGACUCCCACUUCAAUACAUUCACUAAUUCUUUCUAAGAAGUAAAUUUGUUUUACUCAUCAACUCCUUUCCAUCAUUUGCCAUCACUGUUUGGUGGUUUUCCUGAAGCUAAGUCUCUCUCUUUUGUGUGUGUUUAUCCUUGUAUCUCUAACAUACGUAACAUGCCCAAGGAAAUCUUUUUAACUCCUUUCUCAUUCUUUCCACUUCCUACAUUCAGUUGAUCAAAUAAUGCUGUUAAUUCUAUCACAAAAAUGUCUUUGAUAUUUUACUUCUCCUUAUUCCCAUCGCUACUGCAUUUGUACAAGUCCUCAUUGUGAACUGAAUUGUGUCCUCACGAAAUUCAUAUAUUGAAGUUCUAAUUACCAGUGUGACUGACUGGGAGGCAGGGCCUUUAGAGAGACAAUUACAUUUAAAUGAUGUCAUGAAACCAUAUUGGUCUAAUCCAGUAUGAUCAGUGUCCUUACAAGAGGAAGAGAUACCAGGGACAUAGAUGCACCAAGAAGAGGUCCCGUGAGGACACAGUGAGAAGACGGCCAUCUGCAAGCCACAGAAAGAGGCCUCAAGAGAGCUGAACAUGCUAUCAGAGAAACUGAACUUUGACCGUGGAAGUCCCGCAUCCAGAACUCUGAGAAAAUACACUUCUGUUGUUUAAGCUGCUCAGUCUGUGGUAUCUUGUUAUGGCUGCCCUAGCAAAUGAAUAUAGUGCUCACAAUUGAUCAUCAAGGAAAUUGAAAUAAUUCUCUAAUUUUUCCAUUCCCCCUAUCUUAUAAUUGGGAGGGAGCCUCUAACUCCCUGUCUCAGGGUUUGAUGAGGUGACUUCCCAGUGAGGAGCACAGCUAGCUGGCCGUUGUCUGGUUAGCAGACCUCCCUUCUCUGUCUCUGUCUCAGGAAGGUCUGAGGCAUUCGGAAGAAGUUGACUCUGGGAGAUGUCCAGGAGUCCCUUAGCUAGGUGUUUGGAUCAAGCUCCUCCUCCUAAGUCUUUUAUUAUUGUAUAUUUUAUUGACAUGGAAAUUAUAUUUUAAAAGGCAUUUGUGUACAAUUGUCUCAUAUGACUUAGUCCUCAAAACAAAUCUGUAAGGUAUAUCAUAAAAACCUCCAGUGCAAAGCUGAAGAAACAGACUUCGGGGUGAGUAAAUCGCUCCAUGUCUGACAGGCUCUGAGUGGCAGGAGCAGCCUAAAAUGCGGUGCUUCUGACUGAAAGCUCAUUGUUCUUUCCACUCUGUCACAUUUAAGAAUAACACAUAGAUUAUAUUCAUUUACUGUGCAAAGUGGAGUUGCAGCAAACAUGUAUUCAAUUUAUUUGAAUUAAACUGCAAAGAGAAGGCCCAAGUUAGAACUCAUUUAAAUUAAACAUAGACUCCUGUGUCAGACAUCUUACUCAGCAAGCAUAUGCCCCGGGCAAUGGAGUCAGUCAAGCUAGAAAAAGUAAUUUGCAUUUGGUGAAUCCUAUGAACAAAAAUGUUUGAUUCAUUUCAAAGGUUUUCAACCCUUUAAAAAGAAGAAAAAUGUGCUGUUCAACCUUACAUAAAUUGAUGAUGAUAGAGAAAUUGAGUAGAUUAAUUUAGGGCCAUAGAGAAUCAUUGGUUAAGGAAAAGAUGUUUUGAUAUAUAAUUGGUAGAGUUAUUCCCUCUUUGUAAAUUUCCCUUGGAAAAUUAAUAAAUUGACCUUCUAGCCUCUGUAUCCUUUGAGUGAGAUGGUUUGAAUAAUGUGAAUGGGUCUCCCAGUGCUUGAUCACCUCCCAUUAAACCAAAGUAACUUAAGUAAUCAAAUUCUAGCUUGUAAACUGAAGAACAGGAAAUGGAUCCUGGCUCUGUGUUAACUUACCAAGACACACAUGUACCACUUGGUUAUGCUGGUUUCUGCUGUCUUCUCUACAGUAAUCAACAAGUCUUUCAAAUAGAGAAGUUUCCAACCAA
Long non-coding RNA from Manis pentadactyla (Chinese pangolin), 2391 nucleotides. RefSeq lists it as uncharacterized. The transcript is spliced from 2 exons. NCBI's taxonomy places the organism in Eukaryota, Metazoa, Chordata, Mammalia, Pholidota, Manidae. The record is from RefSeq and is a predicted model, not a curated record.